AUUGAACGCUGGCGGCAGGCCUAACACAUGCAAGUCGAGCGGAUGAAGGGAGCUUGCUCCUGGAUUCAGCGUCGGACGGGUGAGUAAUGCCUAGGAAUCUGCCUGGUAGUGGGGGAUAACGUCCGGAAACGGGCGCUAAUACCGCAUACGUCCUGAGGGAGAAAGUGGGGGAUCUUCGGACCUCACGCUAUCAGAUGAGCCUAGGUCGGAUUAGCUAGUUGGUGGGGUAAGGGCCUACCAAGGCGACGAUCCGUAACUGGUCUGAGAGGAUGAUCAGUCACACUGGAACUGAGACACGGUCCAGACUCCUACGGGAGGCAGCAGUGGGGAAUAUUGGACAAUGGGCGAAAGCCUGAUCCAGCCAUGCCGCGUGUGUGAAGAAGGUCUUCGGAUUGUAAAGCACUUUAAGUUGGGAGGAAGGGCAGUAAGUUAAUACCUUGCUGUUUUGACGUUACCAACAGAAUAAGCACCGGCUAACUUCGUG
Molecule: ribosomal RNA, 484 nt
Filed under: uncultured bacterium
Lineage: Bacteria
Description: partial 16S ribosomal RNA
Rfam family: Bacterial small subunit ribosomal RNA
Source: RNAcentral